Molecule: ribosomal RNA, 451 nt
Filed under: uncultured bacterium
Lineage: Bacteria
Description: partial 16S ribosomal RNA
Rfam family: Bacterial small subunit ribosomal RNA
Source: RNAcentral
GAUUAACGCUGGCGGUAUGCAUAACACAUGCAAGUCGAACGAACCUUCGGGUUAGUGGCGAACGGGUGAGUAAUACAUUGGUAUCUGCCUCGAAGAGGGACAUAGCCUGCCGAAAGGUGGGGUAAUUUCCCAUAGUCUCCGCAAGGAGUAAAGCAGCAAUGCGCUUCGAGAGGAACCUUUGUCCUAUCAGCUUGUUGGUGAGGUAACGGCUCACCAAGGCUAUGACGGGUAGCUGGAUCGAGAGGUUGAUCAGCCACACUGGGACUGAGACACGGCCCAGACUCCUACGGGAGGCAGCAGUGGGGAAUCUUAGACAAUGGGGGGAACCCUGAUCUAGCCAUGCCGCGUGAUCGAUGAAGGCCUUAGGGUUGUAAAGAUCUUUCAGUGGGGAAGAUAAUGACUGUACCCACAGAAGAAGCCCCGGCUAACUCCGUGCCAGCCGCCGCCGUAA